RNAcentral lists this ribosomal RNA (253 nucleotides) under uncultured bacterium. Its description in RNAcentral is "partial 16S ribosomal RNA". It matches the Rfam family "Archaeal small subunit ribosomal RNA", at positions 474 to 727 of the family's 1478-position model. The record is from RNAcentral.
UACCAGCACCCCGAGUGGUCGGGACGUUUAUUGGGCCUAAAGCAUCCGUAGCCGGUUCUACAAGUCUUCCGUUAAAUCCAACUGCUUAACAGGUGGGCUGCGGAGGAUACUAUAGAGCUAGGAGGCGGGAGAGGCAAGCGGUACUCGAUGGGUAGGGGUAAAAUCCGUUGAUCCAUUGAAGACCACCAGUGGCGAAGGCGGCUUGCCAGAACGCGCUCGACGGUGAGGGAUGAAAGCUGGGGGAGCAAACCGG